Molecule: ribosomal RNA, 781 nt
Filed under: Penicillium sp. 799_1_CY05
Lineage: Eukaryota; Fungi; Ascomycota; Eurotiomycetes; Eurotiales; Aspergillaceae
Description: eukaryotic LSU rRNA
Rfam family: Eukaryotic large subunit ribosomal RNA
Source: RNAcentral
AUUUGAAAGCUGGCUCCUUCGGGGUCCGCAUUGUAAUUUGCAGAGGAUGCUUCGGGAGUGGCCCCCAUCUAAGUGCCCUGGAACGGGCCGUCAUAGAGGGUGAGAAUCCCGUCUGGGAUGGGGUGUCCACGCCCGUGUGAAGCUCCUUCGACGAGUCGAGUUGUUUGGGAAUGCAGCUCUAAAUGGGUGGUAAAUUUCAUCUAAAGCUAAAUACUGGCCGGAGACCGAUAGCGCACAAGUAGAGUGAUCGAAAGAUGAAAAGCACUUUGAAAAGAGAGUUAAACAGCACGUGAAAUUGUUGAAAGGGAAGCGCUUGCGACCAGACUCGCCCACGGGGUUCAGCCGGCAUUCGUGCCGGUGUACUUCCCCGCGGGCGGGCCAGCGUCGGUUUGGGCGGCCGGUCAAAGGCCCUCGGAAUGUAACGCCCCCCGGGGCGUCUUAUAGCCGAGGGUGCCAUGCGGCCAGCCCGGACCGAGGAACGCGCUUCGGCUCGGACGCUGGCAUAAUGGUCGUAAGCGACCCGUCUUGAAACACGGACCAAGGAGUCUAACAUCUACGCGAGUGUUCGGGUGUCAAACCCGUGCGCGCAGUGAAAGCGAACGGAGGUGGGAACCCCUCGGGGUGCACCAUCGACCGAUCCUGAUGUCUUCGGAUGGAUUUGAGUAAGAGCGUAGCUGUUGGGACCCGAAAGAUGGUGAACUAUGCCUGAAUAGGGCGAAGCCAGAGGAAACUCUGGUGGAGGCUCGCAGCGGUUAAAACGUGCAGGUCGAUCGUCGAAUUU